UGGGGAAUUUUGGACAAUGGGCGAAAGCCUGAUCCAGCAAUGCCGCGUGUGUGAAGAAGGCCUUCGGGUUGUAAAGCACUUUUGUCCGGAAAGAAAUCCUUGGCUCUAAUACAGUCGGGGGAUGACGGUACCGGAAGAAUAAGCACCGGCUAACUACGUGCCAGCAGCCGCGGUAAUACGUAGGGUGCAAGCGUUAAUCGGAAUUACUGGGCGUAAAGCGUACGCAGGCGGUUUGCUAAGACCGAUGUGAAAUCCCCGGGCUCAACCUGGGAACUGCAUUGGUGACUGGCAGGCUAGAGUAUGGCAGAGGGGGGUAGAAUUCCACGUGUAGCAGUGAAAUGCGUAGAGAUGUGGAGGAAUACCGAUGGCGAAGGCAGCCCCCUGGGCCAAUACUGACGCUCAUGCACGAAAGCGUGGGGAGCAAACAGGAUUAGAUACCCUGGUAGUCCACGCCCUAAACGAUGUCAACUAGUUGUUGGGGAUUCAUUUCCUUAGUAACGUAGCUAACGCGUGAAGUUGACCGCCUGGGGAGUACGGUCGCAAGAUUAAAACUCAAAUGAAUUGACGGGGUCAUAGCUGUUUCCU
RNAcentral lists this ribosomal RNA (585 nucleotides) under uncultured bacterium. RNAcentral describes it as "partial 16S ribosomal RNA". It matches the Rfam family "Bacterial small subunit ribosomal RNA", at positions 355 to 1375 of the family's 1533-position model. The record is from RNAcentral.